UGAGUUAAGCUCGCAGAACAGGAAACUAAAAAUGUACUUUGAUCUUUAAGGAUUUAUAAGAACUUAUUGUACAUGUGGCGGCAACUCUAGAAAAGGUUUUCAAACUGAAGCUGUUCCAUGGAAUUUUGAAGCCGCAACAAAUGUAUGAAAUUGUUUCCAUUUGAGUGGCACGUGCUUUUAAAGAUUAAACCGCAACGUGAGGCGGGUAGAUAGCGUGAGGAGAAUUCGUCUUUGUUGGAGCACCCAAAAAAAAAAAAAAGAAACAAACAAAAAUUUCAAAAGCUAAAGA
Long non-coding RNA from Drosophila innubila, 289 nucleotides. RefSeq lists it as uncharacterized. The transcript is spliced from 2 exons. The record is from RefSeq and is a predicted model, not a curated record. NCBI's taxonomy places the organism in Eukaryota, Metazoa, Arthropoda, Insecta, Diptera, Drosophilidae.